AGAUGCCGCCCUGCACCCCGCCUCCGUCGAGGACUUCAUCCAUGUCCAUGCUGCCAACUCCAUACUCUCCAACCCCGACAAGAACAUCGACUAUGACCGCCGCCUCCUCCUCUCUACUGCCGCCGCUCGCCCUUGUUCCCGGUGCACCGUCGCCAGACCUGGGAGAUGAACUUAGUGCUGGUGACCACCCAUGAUGUGACAACACGCUUCUUCGUUGCAAAAUCUCCGACGUGUGUGCGGCAGGAGCGACACCUCACUACCAACCCCAAAGUCAGGGUCACCAAGGAGAUUAGGGCGGCAGGCAUCCUGGAGAACUUCGAUGAGGGGAAGCAGUACUCGUAGCACGGCUUCAGAAAGUUCAUCAAUAGCACUAUGAAACUGCUGGUUUAUCACUUGAAGAAAUUCAAAACUUUGGGCCAAAAGUGCAAUUUGAAUGUUAGUGCAAUGAUGCAACUCAAGGGAAAGGUUCAUAUGGCCUGUGUAAUGCAAAGACAUAGGUAAAUUUAGAUGCAUACUUCAUUUAUUAAGCAUUACCUAUCUUUUUCAUGAUUGUUUAUGAGACAUGUUUCUUUCCCUGAUGUGUUUUCUUUGUUAUUACUGAUUUUAGUUGCAUUAAAAGGUCCUGUAUAAACUUUCUCAAGAAUGUGAAUGCUAGACUUCAAUCAACAUUGUCCUUUCAUGUGAAAAUUAUUUAACAGAAAUAAUAAAACCUUCUCCUAAUUUGUGACAUUUCAUUUUGUGGCAAGUGAUUUUCAUCGUCUAUCAUUGCACCACAACGUCCGGUGCUAAUAUUUUCUUUUGUGAAAUACCAGCGCAUCUCUGUAUUUAUUGGAUCACUUGAUGGAAAUAUAGAACGAGUCAAGUCGUUAGUCUUCUUUUUUUUUACAUCAAUGUGAUCAGAGUUGGAAUAACAUAAUACAAUUCAAAUACCCACCAGCUUUUUGUACUGGAAAUCUGGGAAGACAGCGCUGGGAGAUUUCCUCUGAUUGAUCUUGGUAUGUUCUUCAUAUCAAUAGUAAAUAAUUUUGCUAUCUAUUUGAACUAAUAGUUGUUUGGACUUUGGAAUAUACAAAUUGGGGGUUGCUUUGGUGAUUUUUAGGAUUAAAUAACUGUGUUGAAUGACUAAUAAAAUUUAUUUCUUAUAUAUUGUUACAAUUCAAUAUAAAAUUCCAUUUGCAUGUUAGUUGUGGAAGCUACAAUAUCUUCAGAAGAACGUAUGGAAGGACUUUUACUUUUCAUUGCAGGUUUAUAAGAUAUGAAAGUAUGCCACAGAAAACAUACUGAAUUCUAAUUUUUGUUUCAUUUGUAUGGGCUGCUGGGGAGCUGGCAGGAAAGGUGCCAAGCUCUGGGUGUUGUCUCGAGCAUUUUUUGGGGGGGCUUUACGUAACAGUCAUUGUCUACAAGGAGAAGUUAUCCAAGAUGGGAGUUUUUUAUGUGGUGGCCAUGGUCGCGGAGUUUGAUGAAUACACCACUGAUUGGCUUUAGCACCGUGAAGGCUGAAGGGCAAUUGUUCAAAAUAUUGUGUUUCUUUUCACUAGAAUAAUUACUUAGUUGUCACUCUAAGAAAAUAAUAAUUGCUGUUGAGAAUAACAUGCGGGUCAUUCUAAGUAUAUACAUAUAAGACAGAGUAGCAAAUGAACAAUUAUUACUUUCUCAGAGUGGCAAAAAAGCAAAUACCUCUUCACUGUUUGAUCUCAACAUCUUGAUAUACUUCAUACGUUGCUUCGUCACUUCCAGUUGUUUCGAUUUUUUGUUAACAAGUAGUCCUUCCUACUCCGCACAAAGUUAUCCUACCGAAGAGAAA
Phragmites australis (common reed) is the source of this 1804-nucleotide long non-coding RNA. RefSeq lists it as uncharacterized. NCBI's taxonomy places the organism in Eukaryota, Viridiplantae, Streptophyta, Magnoliopsida, Poales, Poaceae. The record is from RefSeq and is a predicted model, not a curated record. The transcript is spliced from 4 exons.